RNAcentral lists this ribosomal RNA (253 nucleotides) under uncultured bacterium. Its description in RNAcentral is "partial 16S ribosomal RNA". It matches the Rfam family "Bacterial small subunit ribosomal RNA", at positions 524 to 776 of the family's 1533-position model. The record is from RNAcentral.
UACGUAGGGUGCGAGCGUUGCCCGGAAUUAUUGGGCGUAAAGGGCGCGUAGGCGGCUCGGCAAGUCCGUUGUGAAAUCGCCCGGCUCAACUGGGCGGGGUCAGCGGAUACGGCCGAGCUGGAGCAAGCUAGGGGGUAAUGGAAUUCCCGGUGUAGUGGUGGAAUGCGUAGAUAUCGGGAGGAACACCAGUGGCGAAGGCGGUCAAAUGGCCCGACACUGACGCUGAGGCACGAAAGCGUGGGGAGCGAACAGG